Molecule: ribosomal RNA, 334 nt
Filed under: uncultured eukaryote
Lineage: Eukaryota
Description: partial 18S ribosomal RNA
Rfam family: Eukaryotic small subunit ribosomal RNA
Source: RNAcentral
CCCUUAGAUGUCCGGGGCCGCACGCGCGCUACACUGAAGGAAUCAGCGUGGCUUUCUCCCUGACCCGAAAGGGUUGGGAAACCCGUUGAAUCUCCUUCGUGAUUGGGAUAGGGACUUGCAAUUGUUUCCCUUGAACGAGGAAUUCCCAGUAAGCGCAAGUCAUCAGCUUGCGUUGAUUACGUCCCUGCCCUUUGUACACACCGCCCGUCGCUACUACCGAUUGAAUGGUUUAGUGAGAUCCUUGGAUCGGCCCUGUCGCGGCUGGCAACGGCCGCGUCGGCGCGUCGAGAAGACGAUCAAACUUGAUCAUUUAGAGGAAGUAAAAGUCGUAACA